UAUAGUAUCCUACUACCUCCGGUUCUAUUUAUAAGAGAAAUUUAGGUCAACAAAAGUGAAUGUAUUUGGACUGAAUUUUUAACUAGAUAUAUCAACUUUUGUUGACCCAAAAUUCUCUUAUAAAUAGGACCGGAGGGAGUACUUUUUUAGGA
This 152-nucleotide microRNA precursor is filed under the name Medicago truncatula (barrel medic). RNAcentral describes it as "miR5281f stem-loop (mtr-MIR5281f)". The record is from miRBase by way of RNAcentral. Lineage: Eukaryota; Viridiplantae; Streptophyta; Magnoliopsida; Fabales; Fabaceae.